Molecule: long non-coding RNA, 129 nt
Organism: Gekko japonicus
Lineage: Eukaryota; Metazoa; Chordata; Lepidosauria; Squamata; Gekkonidae
Exons: 4
Source: RefSeq, a predicted model, not a curated record
CUCUCCUUGGAUGCGGUGGAAACAGUGUCUUGCCCAGCCACCAGGAUUAAUGCUUCCGCCGUCUGCGAUGGCGUGGAGAGGAACGACGUCGAAUGGCCUCCCAAUCUCACCCACCUGGUUUGUGACAAC